UAGGGAAUCUUCGGCAAUGGGGGCAACCCUGACCGAGCAACGCCGCGUGAGUGAAGAAGGUUUUCGGAUCGUAAAGCUCUGUUGUAAGUCAAGAACGGGUGUGAGAGUGGAAAGUUCACACUGUGACGGUAGCUUACCAGAAAGGGACGGCUAACUACGUGCCAGCAGCCGCGGUAAUACGUAGGUCCCGAGCGUUGUCCGGAUUUAUUGGGCGUAAAGCGAGCGCAGGCGGUUUGAUAAGUCUGAAGUUAAAGGCUGUGGCUCAACCAUAGUUCGAUUUGGAAACUGUCAAACUUGAGUGCAGAAGGGGAGAGUGGAAUUCCAUGUGUAGCGGUGAAAUGCGUAGAUAUAUGGAGGAACACCGGUGGCGAAAGCGGCUCUCUGGUCUGUAACUGACGCUGAGGCUCGAAAGCGUGGGGAGCGAAGAGG
RNAcentral lists this ribosomal RNA (429 nucleotides) under bacterium. Its description in RNAcentral is "partial 16S ribosomal RNA". It matches the Rfam family "Bacterial small subunit ribosomal RNA", at positions 355 to 776 of the family's 1533-position model. The record is from RNAcentral.